This 379-nucleotide ribosomal RNA is filed under the name uncultured eukaryote. RNAcentral's name for it is "partial 18S ribosomal RNA". It matches the Rfam family "Eukaryotic small subunit ribosomal RNA", at positions 592 to 976 of the family's 1831-position model. The record is from RNAcentral.
CAAUAGCGUAUAUUUAAGUUGUUGCAGUUAAAAAGCUCGUAGUUGGAUUUCGGAUGGGCUUGACCGGUCCGCCGUUUGGUGUGCACUGGUCGUGCCUAUCUUGCUGCCGGGGACGCGCUCCUGGCCUUAAUUGGCUGGGACGCGGAGUCGGCGAUGUUACUUUGAAAAAAUUAGAGUGUUCAAAGCAGGCCUAAGCUCUGAAUACAUUAGCAUGGAAUAACGCUAUAGGACUCUGGUCUUAUUGCGUUGGUCUUCGAGACCGGAGUAAUGAUUAAGAGGGACAGUUGGGGGCAUUCGUAUUUCAUUGUCAGAGGUGAAAUUCUUGGAUUUAUGAAAGAUGAACUUCUGCGAAAGCAUUUGCCAAGGAUGUUUUCAUUAA